UUGAAAAAAAGUCAUGGUUUUGAAUAUACUUAUAUUGUUUUUAGAAGUUCAAAUUUAUUGUAAAUUUUAGGAUGUUACACAAUUGUAUUGGAUUGAGUGCGAAAUUUGAAAAUCCAAUUGGAUUACUUGAAGGCAAUGUUACUUUGUUAGUCUUAUUUAGCAUAAUUGUGUGCGGUUUUAUUUUUAGUUAUCGUAGUUAUAUUUGGUUAUUCGAUAGAAAGAGAUUAGAAUUGGUUGGAUAAUGGAUAACUACUGAAUUAAACCAAUAAAAAAAUAUCCAAUAGAUAGAAUCGAUCUAAUCCAACAUCCAAUUGGAUCGAUUUGGUUUGAUUUUUUUAUGAUGAAUUGGAUUGGACCGGUUGACAAAUCCAACAUCUAAUGGAUGAUUAGAUUGGAUUGGUUCCAUCGAAAUCCAUUGGAUUUGAACCGCUGAUCACCCAUAAUUUGGUUAUUAUGUUUUUUUCAAUCAGCUGCUGGAACAUGAUGGUUCUAAAAACAUUUUGCAAAAAGGUAAGAAUCAGCCAUAAAGUCACAUUACCUUUCAUUGUUGAUGGUUGUGGAAUGUGAACUACUUUUUAUUAAAUUAUAAAUUAUCUAAGGAUGAAACUGCAUUUCCUUUCUUCAUAUCACUAUAACACAUUACAUUAUUUUUGUAUGUUUUUAUAACAUCAAAUCUUUGUUGUGAAACAAGGUUUAUUAUUAACAUGAGUUGGUUUGAGCUUUAACAAAAUUUUAAGAUAAUUAACUAUUUCAUACAAAUGAUUGUUCCAUGGAUUAUAUCAUUAUUAUUAUUAUUAUUAUUAUUAUUAUUAUCAUUAUAAAUCUUAUAAUAGAAGUCACUUGUGACAUAUAUCCUUAUUAUUAUCAUUAUCAUCAUUAUAAAUCUUAUAAUAGAAGUCACUUAUGACGCGGUUCAAGAUAACUCCCUAUAUUGAAGUGCAAAUAAUAAAGAUACGAAUGAUGGAUGUUACGUAAUAAGAUUAUAAUUUGAAAUAGUAUGCUAGAAAGUAACAUGACAAACAAAUCCUGAAACCGUAAACAACAAACAUACAAAAGCCAGUUUGGUAUCAAGAACAAGGUUGGACCGAAACCGUAAACAACAAACAUACAAAAGCCAGUUUGGUCCAAAACCCGAAACCCGAUUUAGUACCCGGAACUGGACCGGACCGAACCCCGACCCGCUACACCUAAAAACGGUCCAGUUCUCGGGUAAGGUAAUUCAUGGUUUUCGGUCUUCAGGCUGGUCCGGUUCGGGUUCUGCUCGUUGCUCUAUAUUGAACCAUAUUAAUUUGAAACUACGAAAACUCUUCGGCUUAUAUUUUAAGUUUCUAUUUGGUGUGUUAGCUGAAAAAACUAGUUUUUAACUUAUAAGCUAGUUUAUCCAUAAACUAUCUCGGAUAACUUAGACAAAACUGCAAAAUUGGUCCUUGUGGUAUGCAUUUUUUCUGAGGUUUAAUCCAAACCUCGAUUUUUUUGGAUUGGUGGUCCUUUUUGGUCCCUUGAAAAAUUGAAAAGACUAAAAUGCCCUUCUGAACAGUUUAUAUGUUAUUUUCUAUUUAAUUUAAAAUUAUAUUAAUUAAAAAUAUAGGGCCCACCUCUUUCUUUCUUUCUUUCUUUCUCUCUCUCUCUCUCUCUCUCUCUAUAUAUAUAUAUAGCCAUUUGGGUUUGUCUUUGACAAACAUCUAAUAACAUCUUCAUAAAUUCAAGAACACUCAAGAACAUCUUAUGCCAUCACCACCAUUCGACCACCGUCCUCCACCACCACUGUCUGCCACCUCCAUCUCCACCUGAACUUUUUAUACCACUUUAUAUCCGCCUAAAAUCAUCCCAAAAACAAAAAUCAUACACAAAAUAUGGGUUUGUUCUUGAGUUUCCCCUUAAAAAUAAUCACUAGAUCUGAUGCCUCAUCAAGAGCUCAUGAACACACACACCCACCCACAUUCAAGAACACAUUCAUGAACCCCAUAUCUGAUGAGCACACAAACACAAACACACAUUAUAUCAGAUCUGAUGAAGGGUUUUUGGAUGAACACAUUCAAGAACAAAUUUUUGAACCCUAGAUAUAAGGAACACACGAACAAAAUCAGAUCGAGUUCAUGGGUUCUCGGGUUCUUCAUCCAAAAAACAAAGAUCUAAAACCAAAACGAACAUUUGACCCCUCAGUGGCAGAUUUCUUCGUCCCCAUCUUCCAAAAACCCAUAUUGUAUGUGUGUAUUUUGUGACAUCCCCGAUUUCACGGCCACAAAAGACCGAUUUGAUUAUGAUUAUUUAAAUCAGAAUAUUCUUUUCAAAAGAGUAAUAAUGUGGAAUUUGUUCCAAAAAAUAUGACAAUAUCAUUAUUAAAGCAUUUCCGAGGAAAUGUAUUUCAUUUAUAUUUAAAAACCUUGGGAUGUCAUGGUCAAUACAACAACAUAAGCAUAAAACGUAAUAUUACAGGCCUUACAAUAGUUUAUUAUUCUAUUGGCCUAUUCUCCUUUAAAUCUCACUCCAAAUUUAAACUCAUCACACCUAUGCUCUUACGCUGCUACCUGUGAAACAAAGAAACUGAGUGGGUUAGGCUUCGGAAAGCCUGAUGAGCACAUAGGGUUUUCAACCCACAAUAAUUAAAUUUAUUAAUUUCAUCAAUCAAUCAACUCGGUUAUCCGUUCCCGUUAUCCUCACUUUUUGUCCCUAAAACAUCUAAAUUAAGGGACUUAGCCUAAGGAUUUUUCAUCGGGGUGACAGCACUGCAUAGGGGAUUCCUCAACAAUAUAUGUUAAAAGGCAACCAUAGGGGAAUGGAGUACAUCUGGUGAACAUUUAGUUCAAAAACACCUACAUGUUUCGAGCCUACCACCGUUCCACUAGACUGUCUAGAAUAGUUUGUGGUCGUCAUCUAUACUCCGCUAGAUGACUGGAUCAUCUUAAACACUCUAGGCCUAUCAUUAUUUAUUUUAUCAUCUAUAUCAUCUACCCAUCUUUACCCUUUAUAUUUAUAGGUACAAAAUACAUACAUAGUUUAAAUCGAAUAAAACAUGUAUAUUUUGUUCAUCCAACAUACAUAUCAAGAACACAGAUAAUAUACACACAUAACACGUAAUUUUUAUUAAAUACUUCAUAUUUAUGUAUAAGAUGAAAAUAACUAUGCACUCACUUGACUAGUUAGUGGUUACUAACUAUGUUCUUAAUCGUCGUUAUAUCACACUUUCUUUAUUUAUGACUCCUUGCUCGAAAAUUCUGAACUCUAAUUUCAAAAUUUCUGGCCCUUCUUUAUAUCGAGUAUAUCUUUGGCUAUUAUUGUUUUCUAUCAUAAGAAUUGCUCAAAGGAUACCUCUAUUUAUAUAAAGGAUUUUUGAAUCGCCCGUACAAUAUCAAAAGAUUAGUCACCCAAAAAAAUUACACGUAUAACUUCAAUAAAUUAGAUGUGUACGAACAUACUUGAAAGGUUAACACAUAUUCUUCUGAUAUUGACUCUAAAUUAGAAGGUGUAUUAUUACUUCUCUUUUGUCAACACAUAUCAUUUUAAUUAAUAAAAUAUGUACGACAUGUAUUAUAUUUCUUACAGGUAUGUUGGUUUGCAAUUUACAAAUCAAUUAUAGUUACAUUUAUGGUCCAUAAGUUAUUAUUGUAUUAACACAAUAUAUCAUUCAAGUUACACUGUAGUCCCUCAGCUGCAUGGAGCCCCUAAUAAGAAUAAAGAACAAGUAAGAGACGAUCACCCACUUAUUUGUUUGGAUCGGUCCGAUCCAAUCAAAUUAAGUAAAUUCAACUUAAUUCCGGUUUACAAAACAUUGAUUCAAAUAGUUCAAACUAAAUUCAAAUUCGGUAUGAAUUAAUCAAAUUACAAUUCGAUUUUCAAGAGUCGGAAUGUUUUAAAAUAGUUAUAAUUUGAAUAUUAGCUGACUUUAUAAAAGAAAUAUAAUCAAAUGGUUAGUUGUAAAUUAAAAUUUAUAAACUGUUAAGGAAAAUAUAUUUUGAUUCAUUAGAUAAAAAAAUCUUGAAAAAAAAAUACAUAUUAAGGUUUUUAUUAGGAGAGUGUUUCUAACCUAUUUAAAAAACAAUUCAGUAAAUUAAUAAAUAAUUAAAAGUAUAUAUUAAAAAUUAAAAUAUAUAUAUCUAUUCUAAUAAAUGAAAGUGUUUUUUGUCACAUGUUACACUCUCACUCAAUUUAUCAAAUGUCAUUUUGUGGUUAUUUUGAAUUAAUUUAUUUUUCCAAAUGUCAUGUUAUGUUUUUUUUUUUAUUUUAAUAAAGUUCACAUAAUAUUUAAAUGUAAUAAUUACAAUAAAUUUAGUAAUAAAUAAAUAUAAAUUUCAUUAAUGGAUAAAAAAAUCAAUUUUAAAAGAUAAAAAAAAUCAAUUUUUAUAAUUCAUUAUUUUUUUUUUAUAAAUUCAAAGUUCUUAAAUAUUUAGACAUUUAUAAUUAAUUUUUUUGAUUAACUCAUAUAAUCCAUGAGUCUUAUAGUUUACAAAAUAUUUAUCAAAUAAAGAUAUACUUGCAUGCUGUAAGAUAAUUUUUUUUACUAAUUUACCACCCCGGCCUUUCUAACAAUAAUUUGUAUUAUAUAAAAGACAAUGUUUUCUAAAUAAAUAAAAGAUAUUAGUUUAUUUUAUAUAUAGACAACCACAUAUCAUUUCCAUAUAUAACAUGAUGGUUGUUCAGAUCCGUGAUUAUUUAAUUUAAACUAUUAAAUAUGUAUUUUAUGAGUCGGUGAUUUCUAACACUAUUAAAAAAAGGGACAUUGUAACGAAACUAAAAGGCCGAGUUUCCUGUAAGCAGCUGACUGAAGCCAGACAGUCAAGCCAAGCUGAUUCUCCCCGCUCUCGACCAAAAUCUAUUACUAUUUUCAUCAUCACCGACACCCUCCCCCUCUCUUUUCUUAACAAAUCAAUACAAAUGAUUAAUAUGCAGUAAUCAUCGAAAGUGAGAUCAAGAAUGGGCCCUUUUCUUCUCACGCCAAUGCCCAUCAAACUUCAUUGAUUAUCAAGUUCCUUCAAAUUCAAAUCAAGAACGAAAAAAUCAAUUUCUAUCAUCUGGGGCUCUUCUUUAGUCCCCUGUUUCUACUUUAAUUGGAAUACAUGGAGGCAAAUGCAGGAUUAGUUGCCGGAUCUCAUAAGAGGAACGAGUUGGUGAGAAUAAGACAUGAUUCCGAUGGAGGGGUAUGUGUUCUUUCGAUUUUUCUUGAAUACCCUUUUGGAUUUUGAGUGUUCAGAAAUCAAUUUUAUCGACUCUUGUAUAGAUCUAAGUGAUUUAACAGUAGGCUAUUUUGUUUAACCCAAGUUUGUUUAUUUUGUUUGGAUCUGAGUGAUCAGUGUGACCAGUGAGCUCAGUAAUGAGUGAUGAUACGACUUUUGACUUAUUAAUCCUACCUUUUUGUUAAAUCUUCAAAGAGGGUUUUUUGUUAAAUUUGUGGAUUUAGAUCUGAAUCAUCGAGAUGAAAGUUUCUGUUUUCAGCGCCCAUCUUGAUUAAUUUGACAAAAUUUUCAGCUUUAGCACAUGAUGAUUUCUUAAAUUAUUUAAUUUUGAUUGUGACGUUGAGUGUUGAUGAUGCAGCCGAAGCCUUUAAAGAAUAUGAAUGGACAGAUAUGUCAAAUCUGUGGCGACACCGUCGGCCUGACUGAAAACGGCGACGUUUUUGUUGCUUGCAACGAGUGCGCAUUCCCGGUUUGUAGACCCUGCUACGAGUACGAAAGAAGAGACGGAAAUCAAGCAUGCCCUCAAUGCAAAACUCGAUACAAAAGACACAAAGGUUAGUUUUUGAGUUUUUGUUCGUAUCAAGAACACAUCAAACAUAUGAUUUUUGUAAGAAUUAAAGAGAGAUACAAAUGUUUUUAGGGAGUCCCCGAGUUGACGGUGAUGAUGACGAGGACGAUGUUGAUGACCUGGAAAACGAGUUUGAUUAUGCACAAGGGAGACGACAAUGGCAAGGAGAAGAUCCGGAUCUUUCUUCAUCUUCUAGAAGACAUGAAUCACAGCAACCAGUUCCCCUUCUCACUAAUGGCCAACAAGUAAGAAAAUUACUUAUAUACCCUUUUGUUCUAAGCAUUACCUUUUUAACUAAAUUCAGAGUGUUAUUUUCAGGUAUCUGGUGAAAUCCCAAUUGCCACACCGGACAAUCUAUCUGUAAGAAGUACAUCGGGUCCAUUAGGCCCUGGUGACAAGCCUGUCCGCUAUAUGGAUCCAAGACAACCAGGUUACUUUCUUUUUUUUUUUUUUUUUUUUUAAAAAAAAAGUAUUAUUAUUAAUCAGAUAAUGUUGUAGUAAUUAUGCUAAUGAUGCCCUUUUAAUAAAUAGUUCCUGUAAGAAUUGUGGACCCAUCAAAGGAUUUAAAUUCAUAUGGGCUUGGGAAUGUGGACUGGAAGGAAAGGGUAGAAGGCUGGAAACUAAAACAAGACAAAAACAUAAUGCAAAUGGCAAACAGAUACAAUGGCGGUGAAGGGAGAGGAGGUGAGAUUGAAGGCACGGGAUCAAAUGGAGAAGAAUUGCAACUGUAAGUAGUAAACUAAAGGGUACUUUAGGAAUAUCAUAUUUGUCGACUUAUGAUUUGACUUUUUUUUUUUUUUUUUUUUUUUUUUUUUUUUANUUUGUUUUGUUUUUUUUUUUUUUUUUUUUUUUUUUUUUUUUUUUUUUUUUAAAUAUAUAUAGGGUUGAUGAUCCAAGACAAUUAAUGAGCCGUGUGGUGCCUAUUUCAUCUUCUCAUUUGACUCCAUAUCGAGUUGUGAUUAUAUUGCGAUUGAUUAUUUUGGGAUUUUUCUUGCAAUAUCGGUUGACUCAUCCUGUUAAUGAUGCGUAUCCUUUGUGGCUUGUAUCUGUUAUUUGUGAGGUGUGGUUUGCUUUUUCUUGGCUUCUUGAUCAAUUUCCAAAAUGGUCCCCCGUUGAACGUGAGACCUUCCUUGAUCGCCUUGCAUUGAGGUAAGUAAGUAAUGGGAUUUAGAUUUUGGGCUAAUUGCAAGAAAUAGCAAUGUACUUUCAUUUGUAGUCAUCAUCAUGGGCAAUUAGGUAAUUUUAGCUUAAACAAUGAAAAUUUGUUGUUUUGUAGGUUUGAUAGGGAAGGAGAGCCUUCACAAUUGGCACCUAUAGAUGUCUUUGUGAGUACAGUGGAUCCAUUAAAAGAGCCUCCUCUCAUCACUGCAAACACAGUGUUGUCUAUUCUUGCUGUGGAGUAUCCUGUUGACAAAGUCUCCUGCUAUGUAUCUGAUGAUGGAUCUGCUAUGCUUACAUUUGAGUCUCUUUCUGAGACAGCAGAGUUUGCAAAAAAGUGGGUCCCAUUCUGCAAGAAGCAUAGCAUCGAGCCCAGAGCCCCUGAGUUUUAUUUUGCUCAAAAGAUAGAUUACUUGAAGGACAAGAUCCAGCCUUCUUUCGUCAAAGAACGUAGAGCAAUGAAGGUGAGUUUUACCACUUUUAUGUUUUAUGUUUUAUGAUUUCUUCCAGUGUUUUACCAAAUACCUAAAACACCCUUUUAUGGCAGAGAGAAUACGAAGAAUUCAAAGUUCGGGUCAAUGCACUUGUAGCAAAAGCACAAAAGAUGCCGGAAGAAGGCUGGUCUAUGCAGGAUGGAACUCCUUGGCCUGGAAACAACCCCCGUGAUCAUCCUGGAAUGAUUCAGGUAUUUGAAUGAUUGUUUGGUUGCUGAAAAUUUGUAUAUCAACAGUUGAUUGUUGACUUCUCUUGUUUAUGAUGAUUGGAAUUGGAUAGGUGUUCUUGGGGCACAGUGGAGGUUGCGAUACAGAUGGAAAUGAGCUACCUCGUCUUGUUUACGUGUCCCGUGAAAAACGUCCUGGGUUUCAACAUCACAAGAAAGCCGGUGCCAUGAAUGCUUUGGUAUGGAUCUCUUAAAAAAACAUGGAAAUUUUUUGUGUUUAUUGGUUGUUUAUGGAUGCGAUGCAAUUUGGUGUUACAGAUUAGGGUUUCGGCGGUUUUGACGAAUGGCGCGUACCUUUUGAACGUCGAUUGUGAUCACUACUUCAACAACAGCAAAGCUCUAAAAGAAGCCAUGUGUUUCAUGAUGGAUCCUGCCUAUGGAAAGAAGACAUGCUAUGUUCAAUUCCCACAGAGAUUCGACGGGAUUGAUUUACACGAUCGAUAUGCUAAUCGCAAUAUCGUCUUCUUCGAUGUGCUUUUCUGAACUUUACAGAGUCAAACUUAAAAAAAAAAAUUCAAAUUCAAAUUCCGAUCUUGUUGGGAUUUCAAAAAUCAAAAAUUGACAUUUCUAUAUAUAUAUAUUUUGUACAGAUUAACUUGAAAGGGCUGGAUGGGAUUCAGGGGCCGGUUUACGUGGGAACUGGUUGCUGUUUCAAUCGACGAGCUCUGUAUGGAUACGACCCUGUUUUAACAGAGGCUGAUUUAGAACCAAAUAUCAUUGUGAAAAGCUGUUGUGGUUCACGAAAGAAGUCGAGAAACGUUAACAAGAAGUACGUGGAUAAAAAAGCAGUGAUGAAAAGAACGGAAUCCAACACUCCAAUUUUAAACAUGGAUGAUAUCGAUGAGGGUGUUGAAGGUUUGAUUUUGAGUCUUUCACUUUAGUUUGUGGGUCCAGUGAAUCAUUAAUGUUGACUAAAUUCUUUUGUUUUUGAAAGGGUAUGAUGAAGAUAGAUCGUUACUAAUAUCGCAAAAGAGCUUAGAGAAGCGAUUUGGUCAAUCUCCUGUAUUUGUUGCUGCAACUUUCAUGGAGAUGGGAGGAAUUCCCCCCACUACCAAUCCAGCUACCCUUUUGAAGGAAGCAAUACAUGUUAUUAGCUGUGGUUAUGAGGAUAAAACCGAGUGGGGUAAAGAGGUAAUUUUACCCUUCUAGCUUCCGAUUCUUGUUAUACAUGGUCAUCGGAAAAACAAUAAUCUUCAUGUUAUUUUGUUUUGUGUACAAAUGCAAGCAGAUUGGAUGGAUUUAUGGGUCUGUGACAGAAGAUAUUUUAACUGGAUUCAAGAUGCACACAAGAGGAUGGAUCUCAAUAUAUUGCAUGCCACAACGUCCGGCUUUCAAGGGUUCUGCUCCGAUCAAUCUUUCCGAUCGUCUGAACCAGGUCCUCCGGUGGGCUUUAGGUUCAAUCGAGAUUUUACUCAGUAGACAUUGCCCCAUCUGGUAUGGGUAUAAUGGUAAAUUAAAACUCCUGGAGAGGCUCGCAUACAUAAACACCAUCGUCUAUCCCCUCACCUCCAUCCCUCUUCUAGCCUACUGUGUACUUCCGGCCGUCUGCCUUCUCACCGGAAAAUUCAUCAUCCCCGAGGUACGUUAAUCAUGCUUUAUGAGUUGUACGAUAUGCAUGAAUGUUUGUACAUGUUGAAAAUUGGGGGUUUUGCAACAGAUAAGCAACUAUGCUAGUAUGUGGUUUAUUCUUCUCUUUAUCUCCAUCGCUGCAACCGGAAUCUUGGAGCUCCGGUGGAGUGGCGUGAGUAUUGAAGACUGGUGGAGAAACGAACAGUUUUGGGUGAUAGGAGGCACGUCCGCUCAUCUAUUCGCCGUCUUCCAAGGUCUUCUCAAAGUUCUCGCCGGAAUCGACACCAAUUUCACCGUCACAUCCAAGGCAAACGACGAAGACGGUGAUUUUGCAGAACUCUAUAUAUUCAAAUGGACGGCGCUCCUCAUCCCACCCACCAGUGUUCUGAUCGUAAACCUAAUCGGCAUAGUUUCCGGCGUUUCAUCUGCAAUCAACAGCGGUUACCAGUCGUGGGGCCCACUUUUUGGGAAACUGUUUUUUGCAAUCUGGGUUAUCGUCCAUUUAUACCCGUUUCUCAAAGGUCUGUUGGGUCGGCAAAAUCGAACCCCCACCAUUGUUAUCGUGUGGUCGAUUCUGCUUGCUUCGAUUUUCUCCCUUUUGUGGGUUCGUAUCGACCCCUUUACCACAGACGAUACUCUUGAUGCAGUUAAAGGACAAUGCGGGAUCGAUUGUUAGGUAUAUAUAUAUAAAGUUUCUGAUUUGCAAAUUUGUGUAAGCCGUGAUGUGAUGCGAUGUGAUGUGUACGAAUGAUAUAAUUAUUUGAUUUAUUGUUGUUAUCCCACGAAUUCAAUGAAAAAUUUAAGUAUAACCUUAUCUUAAUAUGUCGGUUCAUUACAUUCAAUUAAGUUGAGUUGUAUGCAAAUUUCUUGUUAUUAUACAGUAUAUUACAAAAUUCAAACACUAUCUUCUUCAUAUUUAAUUUCAUGAAUUUAGUCUUCAACAAGUACAUAUAUAUAAAACAAAACAUGAAAUUCCAUACACACCAAGGUUCAUGUCAGAUCCUGAAACAAAAGAUUAAAGAAAAUAAAGUUAGAUGGUUGUAAAUUGUAACCUAAUGAAAUAUAAGAAAAGUUGGGGUUUUACUUACUCAAUAUAUUCAACGUUGAUUUUCUCCCUUUGAGACUUGGAAAUGGCAGAAAAAGCAUCAUUUGACAAAACAAUAGUCGAAGGACACGGCCUUUUGGAACAAAAAUCUACCACCUUAACAUCAAUGGUACCAUCUCUACAUGGUUUAUUAUUUCCACUCAAACACUUGAGUCUGUAUCGCCUACCACAUGCUGCACCGUUAUCCCAUAGUCCUUCGCUCACUGACACAAAUAAGUUCCCCAAUGGGAAUUGAUCUGCUCGGUUGCCAUUGCACCUUGUGGCUACAUUAAAAAUACAUAUAAAAAAAAAUACUUCAAUUUAACUAUUAUUUAUUUAUUUAUUUACAAUGUCAAAAACAUAAUAAUUAGAAUCAUAUUUAAACUUACGUGUAUAAGGAGGCUCAUAGGAUGAGGCAGUGCCAAUUUCACUCAAACCACACUUGAUGUUAUUGAAGAUUAACAAUAAAAAUAAAUUCACAAUCACUCCAAUUCCCAUCGCUACAAAUUCCCUUUUCUUUUUUCUCUCUCUCUGUCAAAUACUAUGGUAGUAAGAUGCACCCCCUUGGAUUAUAUAUAGAUAUCGUAUGGAUUUAUUUAAAAGAUAUAGGUAUAGUUUGAGAUAUAUUGUCACGUGUUUUUUAAUAGAAAUGUGCUUAGCAUGUAUAUAGAAUGAAUGAAAAGUUGGUGAUCAAAUUGGAUAAACUAUAGAUGUUUAAUGUGAUAUAUAUCUACCUUUGCGCAUGAAAAAUGGAUUUAAUAGGUUUUGGUCAAUUGUGAUAUAAAGUUCUUGAUGCCUACCACUAAUUAGUUUAAGGAAAGAUGGUUUCUAACGUAAACAUAAAACAACUUUUCUAUCGUCUCUUUUAAACAGAAAAAAUAGUCAAUUUUGACAAUGGCACAAAAAGGCAAUGGAAAAGCAUAUGUAAGGAUUAUUAGAUAAAACGAUAGUGUUUUAAUGGAGAAAAAUUAUAUUUUCGGUGAAUUUUUUUUAGUUGAUAAACCCAUUGUUGGUGUCGAAUCUAUGAAAUUAUUUUGGCUUAUACGUCGGCUGACCGAUAUGAUUACCAAAGAAAGGUGCAUCCAGUACAAUCACCACUAACUAAAACCAAUGGCUCUAAACUGUUCGCAAUUUUUUAAGGAAGGGAAAUUCAUAUUUGAAUUCGUCACUACAAAGUGUUACAUGAUUCGUUAUUAAUAAAUAUUUUAUAUUACCUUUUAUCAUAUAAAUAAACAAUCCAAAUUUUAUUUUUAGAUGCAUAUUUCACAAAGCUUUUGUGUUUUUUUCGGUUCAAGUUUGUGUUAAAGUAAUUCAAUAUAGAUGGAGAAUGUCGUUCAAUAAAAGUAGUUUGUGUUAAAGUAAUUCUAUACAGAUGGAAAAUGAUGUUCAAUAAAAGUUUAGAAUAUCAGAUAAUCAAAAUUAGUUUGUCGAUAAGAUUUAUUAUUUUAAAAGAUGGGAUAUAUAUACUAAACUCUCAAUAUUUUUAACGAUUCAACAAAAAAGUCUUAAAUUUUAUUUUUUUAGAGUAAAAUCCUAACUAGCGGCAGUUUUUGACAUGUUUACCAUUUUUUGCCAGUUAGCCAGUAAUUAUGGUUUUACUAUAAAAAAAUAAAAUUUAUGACUUUCUUUUUCAAAUCGUGAAUUAAGACAUUACUGUAAAAAAAAAUUAAAGUUUAGGACUUUCUUAUCAAAUCGUUAAAAAUAUAGGGACUUUAGUGUAUAUAUCCAUUUUUUUGUUAGAAAUUUAAUGUCAUUAUAAUCUUUAAGUAUAAGAGUUAUUGAAAUCUGACCAAUAUGCUCUGGUCAACUAGAUUCUAUUAAAAUCAUUAACGUUUGAUUCUUGUUAAAUAGUUUUUUUUUAAUCUCAACAAAUCGACAUUGAAAAAAAUAAAGAUAAUCAAGAAAGAAAGAACCACGAUUGUGUUGAAUUUUUGCAUAAUGAUAAUCAAGAAAGAAAGAACCAGUAUCGUGUUGAGUUUUUUGCAAUCCUAAAAAUGGAGAAUUAAGAAACCGGAAAAGAAGAAAUUGUCCUUCUUACACAUUCUCCACAUUCACACAUUUUUUACCGGACAUGUGUUGUUUGUGUUUGUUGAAUUUGUUCCUCUUUUCAGUUCAAGAUUUGACGGCGAACCAAGAAAAAAGUUUUACAAGUCUUCUUACCCUCUAUCGUUCUCUCUUUUGCAUCAGUUUCCCAGAUUGUGAUCGUAGCAAAGUAAGAUGAUGAUGGUAAGAAAAAACAAUGGUGUUGCAAUAAAAAUCACAAUUAAAAGUUCUUGGGAUAGGAAUUAGGUCUCAUGAGACUGAUAAAAUUAUUUGUUUCUAGGGAAACCAAACCUAUACACUAAAGUCUCAAUAUUUUUAACGAUUUAACAAAAAAGUCAUAAACUUUAUUUUUUUGACAGUAAAACCCUAAUUACCGGCUAACCGGCAAAAAAGAGUAAAUGUUUCAAAAACUGUCGAUAAUUAGGAUUUUACUGUCAAUUGAUUUUAAUAUUUUCAUGCAAAAGACAACUGUAUUACGAAAGAAAUAACUGUUAACCGUAACUACAAUAAGGUAUUAAAGUUAUAGAAGUUUCAAUCCUAAUAACGCAUAAUUUUCACUUUUGGUUUAAUAUGUUUAUAUUAUUUAUCUAAAAAACAAAAUCAUAAUAAAUAUAUUUUGAUUAAAUGUCACAGAAAAACCACGCCCAUGUCAAUUUUGAUUGUUACAAAAUGACAAUUUUUUUGAAAAGAGAUAUCAUACCGUAUUAAUAAGGUGGUGUUUGUUUUUUUUUCAAAAGCUCUUCUAGACCUUUUAUGUCUGCAUCGCGUAGACGACCCACAAACUUUUAGUCCUAUAGACUGUUUGUUUUUUAGAAGACCGUACGCAUAAAAAAAUCUGUCCAUCCUCUUCUUGACGUAGAUGUGAACAUAUGUCUUCUAGUCUCUUUCUUAAUCUUUCCACUAAUCUUAAGAGACAAUAAAAAAGCGCAAAAAGAAUAAAAAAAUGAAAAAAAAAACCUAUCAAACCUCAUUCGUGCACCUUUUUUUUUAAUUCAUUUGCCAUGUAAACACUUUGUAAAUAUAUUAUUUUAAUGAUUUUAGCUUUAUAAACUUUAUUUGGUCAAAUAAUUUUUUGGUAUUCAUAUUUUAAAAAACUUUAUGCAUAUUUAUCCGAUGACUUUUUAUAACAGUAAUUAAAAAAGUUAAAUAUACUACAAAACUUAUGAAAGUAUUUUACGAACGUGUUUUUUUUCUUCAUAAAAUGGACAAUUAAUUUGUUAUAUAUAUAUAUAUAUGCUUAUUAUAUGAUAACUAGGCUCGUGCGUGUGAACAAGUCUCCGUUUGCCACCUAGCACGGUAUCUNNNNNNNNNNNNNNNNNNNNNNNNNNNNNNNNNNNNNNNNNNNNNNNNNNNNNNNNNNNNNNNNNNNNNNNNNNNNNNNNNNNNNNNNNNNNNNNNNNNNNNNNNNNNNNNNNNNNAUAUAUAUAUAUAUAUUGAAAAUAAGGUGGUUGUAUUAUUAAAUUACAAUGUUUUUAUAUAAGAAAUAUUGAAAAAGUCUUUUAAAUUAAAAAAAAAAUCAAUUUAUUUAGGUUUUAAUUUAUUUUAGCAGUUUGUAGAUUUUAAAAAACAAACAGUCUUCUUGCAGACUGCAGACGUUUGGUCCAUAUCUUCUACUGCAGAUGUCGUCCGCAGACUGCAGACAUUUUGCUUCUGAAAAACAAACACCAUCUAAGUUUCAAACGCAUAAACAUUUAUUAACAAAAGACAUGUAAACGUGGAUUAUGAACUAAUGACAUAGAUAUACGAUAAGUACUAUAAAGAGGAAAAAGCAUAGUUAAGAUUGACCCAAAUUGUAAUGAUUAUAGUCUUGCUAAUGUAAAUAUUUAAUUAGUUUUUCUUGAUAAUCAUGAUAAAUGAUACUUUUUGACUCAUGAGUGAUGAAUAAACAAUAGUAUAUAUAGAUUUACUAAGACGAAAAAAGACAUGAGUUUUAAUGAUAGAAUAUUAUUGAAAAAAUAAUAAAGAAUAUGAUCAACUUUAAAUUAGUGCCCGGAUAAAAUCGAAGUUUUAGAAAGUGCUGAUUAGUGGCGAUCCUUCAUUUUUUUAUAACUUUAUUUCAAAUUAAUGGUAAUCAUGUAUAAUAAUUAAUAAACUUACAAUACGCUAAUAUACAUUACAAUCAUUUUCAUCCUAUGUGAAAAUAAUUUUUGACAUAUUAUUCGUUUUCAAAUUAUAUAGAUGCAUAGGCAAUAAUAUGUCUUUUAUGUGAAAUAAUGUGUGUUUUUUUUAUGUGAAAACAUGUUUUUUAUAUAUAAAAAUAUAUUUUCACAUAAAAAAAACCUGUUAUGCAAAAAACCUUUUGGACCAAAUUUAUAUAGAAACAUAUUUUUCACAUAUAAAAACCUUUUUAUAACAAAAAUGUUUUGUAAAAAAGGUUUUUAGUAUAAAUAUGAUUUUAUAAAGCAAAAAUAACAUAUUUCGAAACAAAAUUUUGGAAAAAUAUAUGUAAAAAAAACAAAAUUUAAGAUGAAAUUGUAACAAAAUUUUAAAAUAGGGACAAAAAUAUAAAAAUUGGACCAAAUUUAUAACAAAAUUUAAAAUCUGAGAAAAAAAUGUAAAUUUUAAAACUGGGAUGACCUUAUAGCCGGGAAAAAUGAUGAAAAUGAAUAUAUUUACCUGUAUUCGUAUCUUAAUUAAAAAAAUAAUAAUUUAAAUACUUAAUUGAAUAUAAGGUUAAAAAUAUAAACACUUUAUAGAUUUUCCUAUACUAAAUACUAUAGCAAAAUAUGUGGAAUUUGGUAUUUAGUAACUUUGGUCUCACUUUUGUUAAAUUUCUAUUUUCUAUCAUUUUACUUUUUGAAAAUUCGUUUUUACCUCUCGAUUUUUCUACUUAUUAACUUUGGUCCAUCACUUUUGUUAAGUUCUCAAAUUUUCAUCCUUUUUACUUUUGAAAUUGUUGCUUUUACCCCCUUUAACUUUCAACUUUCUAGAUACUCAACUCACUCAGCAUGAAGUAUAAGAAAAAAGAGAAGAGAGAGAGAGAGAGAGAGAGAGGAAGCAGCGGGCUGAAGAACCCACAUGAGACGUCUUCUGGCGGUAACCACCAAGGCGUGGAUUUGUUACCCUAGCCGUCGCACGACUCCGUGCACCCUUGGAGAGUAAUCAGUGUUAAAACACUAAGUUGCUUGAAAUAAGGAAUUUGAAGUUAAAUUGAAAAUUUAAAUGUAGAUACGAAAACACAUCAUCUUGCUAACUUGACAACUUAACGCCAUCUUAAGUGGAUACCAUAGAAUGACCCACGAGUGGCGAAUUUAAAAAAAGAAUCACAUGGUUCCUAAUUAAGUGAAGCCAAUAAAAAAAAUCAACAAUACUUUUGGAGUCGGGUCAGGUCGGCUCAUGUACCUUAAAAGAACUGAACAAGUUCAAUCGGCUCAUGUACCUUGUAACGACCCGUCUCUGGUAUGUUGUUUCCAUGUUAUUUAUUUAGAAGUUUUCAAGAGGGACUCGGGGAGUCUAUAGCCCGACUCGUCGAGUAGAGACGGGAUUUCGAGCACGUGUAAGUCGCCGACUCAACGAGUCCAUAUUCGAGACUCGGCGAGUCCGCCUGCUAGGAAGAAACCCUAAAUCCCCGGGUUUGCUCACUAUUUAAGCAAUGUUAUGUGCCCCAAACUCGCCUCCUUCACCCUCAGAGAGCUUGAGAGAAACCCUAAACCAUUCCUUGUAUGACUAAAGUGUUUUGUGUGGAUUCUUGAAGGAAAAAGAAGAAAGGACCCAAAAAGAGGAAGUGUAGAGCAAAGAUCCAAGGCCAAAGUCAGAGUUCAUUGAGGUAUGUCUCGGAAUUAUUCUGUUUUGUGCUUAAAACCUCCAUUAGAACACCUCUAAGGCUAGUUUAAUGUAUUUUCCAAGCUUUAUAGUUGUAUGGAUGCCUUGUUGGGUCGAGAUAUCCCUAGAUCUGUUCAUUUAGGAGUUUUAGAGCCCUGAUCUAGUGCCUUUUCGAAGUUUCUUUGCUUGAGAACCCUAGAUCUAGCCUUUAUUAUGCUUUUUGAGCCUUUUAAUCUUCAUGGGUGCAUAUGGGCACGUAAAGAUAGAAUCUUUACGUGUUAAUCGAGCUUAGGGAGCCCAGAUCUAUAAGUUUUAUGCGUUGGAUUCAAGCAGAAUCGAGUUUAUAGUAGCUGCAUGCAUGCGACUCGGCGAGUCGUUCUUCCGACUCGGUGAGUCGAGUCGUGAGUCCCCGAUUUUUCCUCUUUUGAGUAAUGCCGAGUGGGGACCAGUGAGUAGUAGAGUGGACUUAGUGAGCUGGAGGUCAGACUCAGUAAUGGAGGGACUCGACGAGUUGUUCAUACAACUCGGCGAGUCCAAGGCAAUCUUCUUAGCUCAAGAACAACUCGUCGAGUUGUUCAUACGACUCGGCGAGUCGGAUGCAGAUAGCUUGAGUUCUAGAAUCGAAAGGAAACUCGUCGAGUUUAUGCCAUACUCGACGAGUAGCAGCGAGUAGGGUUGAGAAGUGAGAAUAGGGACUAGGCGAGUUGGCGGCCCAACUCGGCGAGUCAGGUCAACUGUAGGUUGACUUUGACCAGGAGAGUUGACUUUGACCAGGGGUAAAAGAAUCAUUUUACCCCAAUACAGUGAUUAGUAUUUGAUUGAGUGUGUUUAUGGAAUUGUAGCCGGAGAGAUACCAGAGCAGCAGCAGAUAGCUUCCAGAGCCAUACAUUCAGCAGCCAGUUUACGAGGUGAGUUUCCUACCAGUAGGAACGGGUCUACGACAACAAUGCCGGCCCGUUUAGCUAGCAGUUAGUUCCGGACUUCGGUCCGAAGCAGUAGUUCAAGGUGCUUGAUGUUGUGUUUCGGGCAUGUCUAUGUGUUAUGUUAGCAGAUACGUGUUUAUGUUAUGCUAUGUUCAGACAGUUCCGGAUUUCGGUCCGAUGCAGCUAGUUCCGGACUCCGGUCCGAUGCAGGGGACAAGGUCCCAGUCAGUUCCGGAUUUCGGUCCGAUGCAGACAGUUUCGGACUUCGGUCCGAUGCAGUCAAUUCCAGACUUCGGUCCGAUGCAGUGGGCAAGGCCCAGUAUGUGCUUUAUUUGUUAUUGUGUGGUAUGCGGUAGUUUAGGGGAGCUCACUAAGCUUCGUGCUUACAGUUUCAGUUUUGGUUUCAGGUACUUCCGCAAGUAAAGGGAAGAACUCGGGAUGAUGCAUCGCACACACCACAACUUCAGUUUUUGUCGUGGGAGUUGAUUCAGUUUCUUAGAUAUGUUUUGAUACUGUUGUGACACAUUUUUUCUCACAGUAUUUUAUUAUGUGAUACUCAGUUUUAUGAUCUUUGUUAUAAUAUAAAUGAAAUUAUCGGGUCGUAUUUUUGGGAUGUUUCAAGUACCUUGUGCCACCGAUUAAAAAAAUUUUAAAAACCGAUUGAAAUAUAACUGAAAAAGACAUACAGCUUAACGAAAAACUAGUUGAUUAUUAGUCCAUUGAUAAAGCGGCGAACGCAGAGUGAGAGUCUUUGGCAUGUGGGCUUUCAUUUUAUUAGAACAACUUGUUUAUUUAUUAAUAUUUUGAGAGUGCCGAUUAAGAGUAGUUAACUUUUUAUUAUCAAUCUCAUAAUUUAAAAUAACAAAUUGUCCCUAAUAACUUAUAUUUUUCUCUUUUUAAAGUGGUUUUUUUUUUUAAAAAUAAAAAUAAAAAUAAACUCAAUGUAGGUUCUCUAUUUUUUUAAGACUAAAUUACACAGAUGGUCCCUGUGGUUGGCACGAGAGACCAAAGAUAGUCCUUAUGAGGAAUUUUGGACUUGUAUGGUCCCCGUGGUUCCAAAUUGUUGCACGAAGAGUCCUUAUGACAUACUCCGUUUAAUUGUUGUCGUUUAUUUAAAUCACGUAACCCUCACACGAGGGUAUUUUGGUCUUUUGCUUAUCCCUUCUCUCUCUCAUAUCUUUAUAUGAUCUGCAAAAGAUUUCCCUUCCCUAUAAAAAUUAAACCCCCAUCACUUCCUUCAUUAUUUUUCGUCUCCUCUAUUCUCUCUUCUCUCUUCUCUCUGCUGUGUCUUUCUAAGAAACUUUGCUUAAGAAUGGUAAAUUGUUUUUGUGGAACGCAAGCGGUGAUAGUGACAUCAUGGAUGGAUCUCAACCCAGGUUGUAUGUUUUGGAAAUGUCCUAGCAGUUGCGGUUUCAUUGCCUGGUUUGAUGAGCCGAUGUGUCGAAGGGUUGUGGCUGUCAUUCCAGGUUUGCUAAGAUCCAUGAACAAGCUUCAAGAAUCUCUGCUGCAAGCAAGUUUUGAAGCAAAAAAAGUGAAGAUGAUGCUAGUUUUUAGUUGGGUUUUCUUUUUCAUGUAUGUGUAUAAAAGAUGCUAAUAGUAUUAGUCUGGAGAUGAUGGUUCUUUUGCUUGUGGGUAGAUGAUGGUUCUUUUGCUUGUGGUUAGAAUCAGAUAAUAGUAUUAAUUUGAAGAUGAUUUCGUUUUGUUUGUUUGUGAUGCAAGAAAUGUUCGUAUGUAUGAAUGGAAUGCUUUUUAUUUGGGAAACUUUUAGUCUGCUACCAUUGUAAAAUAUUGGUCAGGAACUUAAUGAGUGUAAAAUAUUGGUCUGCAACUUAAUGAACCGUGCAGAUCCAUUAAAGUAUAAAAUAUGAAAGUGAAAGGUUUUUGUAGGCUUUAGACCAUUGUAGAGCCAUAACAACAUUAGAAAUGUUCAAAAAUAAAAUGCAAACUUUUGCAUAGUCAUAAAGUUCAUUACAUAACCUUAAAGUGCAAAGUCAUAAUACCAAAAAAAUAUCAAAAGAGCUUGCAGACUAAUGUAUCAUAACCAAAAGAACCAUCUUAGUCUAGCACCCUGUGUGAACCAUAAUACCAACAAAAGAUAAAGACACACAAUAACCAACUUAGUCUGACCUUUCUAAGGUACCAAAACAAACAACACAAAAGACCUUUCUAAGGUUCCAUAACAAACAACACAAAAGACAACAAAUCAAACUUUUUCCUUCAUUUUGGAUUUAUCCUUAAGUUUGGUUUUCUCCUUCAUUUUGGGUUUCUCCUUUUUUCCAUCUCCCUGCUUCUUUGCCUUGCUAAGCUUCUUGCCCCCUGCCACCACAUUUCUAACUUCAGUUUGUCCCCCUUGUCCCUUGCAACUCCUAGAGUUGUGACCCUUGUUAUUGCAUUUGCUACAAGUAACUGUAAGGAACUUCUUGGUCAAACUUUUACCUUGAUUAUUUGGUUCUUCAGUUUGAGCUCUCUUUCUCUUCUUUUUUGGUCUCCCCACCUGCAUAAUUAAUAAAUUAUAAAACAGUAUAAACGUAUACUAACUUGUAAAUUGAAAAUUAUUUACCUGUUUAGUAUGCUUAGGAGGUGUUAGUGUUAUGGGGAAAUCUGACUUUGGCCACAUACUUCUUCCAUUGAUAGGUUGAACUUUGUACUUGUACAUUUCAUUCCAUGUGCUUAACCUAUAACAUGGAUGUACCCACUCCUCAAGAGGUGGGACAUUUUUUCCCAGUGCCUGCAACUACAAUUCCUGUCCCUCCAAUUAACCACAAAUUGUUCCCCCAUUGUCCCAGUAACUUGAGUCUUAUCAGCACCAUUAAAUAUGCAAGUGUAUUGAGAAGCAUCUUUCUUAACUCCAUCUAAAAGUUUUGUGGCUGGGGGGGGGAGAGGGGCNUUAUCUAUCACAUUUUGCACAAUACAAAUUCGUUUCAUUAAGUAUUCCCUAAUAUAUUCUAAACAUGUAAUUAUAGGUUUGUCUCGAGCAUCUAACAACUUUGAGAUGAAAACUUCACAUAAAUUAUUCAACAAAAUAUCUGUAUGUGCUCUUCCUGUACAAUGCAACAAAAUAUCUUAUAAGAAUCUGUCAAAGUGUAAAUCUUCCUUGAAUCUGUCAAAGUGUCUAACUGUUGUUGCUGUUGCACAUUCCCAUAAAUGAUCUCUGUGCUCCUUCCCCCUCCAUUGUAGCUUCAUGUUUUCGUGAAUAUGUCUUAAACAGAACCUGUGUUCAGCGCUAGGUAAUAGGUUGGCAAUGGCAGAUAAAAUCCCCUAAUUAACAAGUAACAAAAAUGUUAUUUUCUAAAUGUAGUAGACAAAAUUACAAAGAUGUCAUGAACAAGUAUCAUAAGAAGAUUAACCUUUUGCCUGUCAGAAAUAAAUGUGAAGUUUGAAUUUGUAGAGAGCUCCAAAUCUUCACCUAGACACUCUAGAAACCAACUCCAUGAGCUUUUGUUCUCGGCUUCAACUAUGGCAUAUGCUAGUGGGUAGAUCCGAUUAUUGGAAUCAAGACCCACAACAGUGAGAACCUAUCCAGUGUAAGGUCCCUUCAUGAAAGCCCCAUCGAAACCUAAAAAAUCUCUUAAACCUGCCUUAAAACCCAGUUUUAAUGCACCUAAACAGACAUAAAUUCUCUUAAACAUCCUAGUUUCCAAGUCUGCAUUUGGUUCACUGUAUACAUCAAUCUUCACAAUUGUUCCUGGGUUGCACUGUUGUAAUUCUAAUACGUAAUCCCUGAGAAGGCUGUAUUGCUUUUGAUAAUCUCCAUAAACAUGUUUCUGUGCAAGUUGUUUAGCCCUAAAGACCUUCAUUCUUGACAUCCCCACCUCGUAUAUCUUUUGUAACUCUACACACAAAGCUUUGACUGGGAUAGUUGGGUUUCCUUCCACUUCUUGAAGAAUGAUGGUUGUAAGAAACUUAGGCCUCAUUUGAUAGUUGCCGAUUGAGAAAGUGCUGACUGAGAAAGGUCUGUCUGGGUAAGAAAUCCUGAUUGGGUAAGAAAUCCUGUUGUUUGAUUGUACAUCUGACUGAAUGUGCUGAGUGAUGAAAAAUGACCAUUUUACCCUGCUGUUAUAUAUAUAUAUUGAUGGAUUAAAUUGCUGAAUAAUUAUAAAAACAUACAUAUUGUCAUACAAAAUGUAAAUUACACACAAAUAAAAAAUGUCAUACAAAAUGUAAAUUAAACAUAAAUCAUUUAAUAUCCAAAUAAAAACAUAAUGAAAUUUAAAAUAACAUAAUAAUUUAAUGUAAAGUAGGUGAAAGUAGUCGAUUUGCAAUCUGAUCACGCAAAACACGCAUAUAUUCAACGGCUUCUGGACCCCAUUCUAUGCCUUGUAUGUUUUCUCUAUCAAUUCCCCCACCUUGGACGUCAGGAGUAACCAUAGUGUCCUCCUCAAAAUUUCUAAACAAGUCAUCUUCUAUAUUGUAUUUCCUUAUAAAAUUAUGGACCGCGACACAAGCAAUGACUAUGUCUCUUUGCACUGUAAAAGGAUAAGGAGCCAUUUGUUUUAAGAUUGGGAAUCUCGCCUUCAAUACACCAUAAGCACGCUCAAUAACAUUUCUAAGUUGUGCAUGAGCAUGAUUGAACCUUUCUUCUCUAGUUAAAGGUCUGCCUCUUCGAAAAUCGGCUAACCAAUACCUAGUAUUGCGGUAUGGAGCCAUAAACCCACGAGUGUUUGUAUAUGCGGCAUCACAAAGGUAAUAUUUAUCUGCAAACGAAUGUGACAUAUUAUAUAAUGACACAUAUUAUAUAAAGAAGAUAGAUAAUAAAAAUUAUAUAAAGAUUACAAACCUGGUGGAGGAAAUGGAAAUCCAGAAGUCGAAUUGAAUGCAACUUCUUUCAAAACUCUUGAAUCAUGUGCUAUACCCUCCCAUCCAGCCCAAACAAAGGUGAAUAUCAUAUCAAAAUCACAAAUUCCUAUUACAUUUUGAAAACAUUCUCCUUUUCCUCUUCCUCAAUAACGAGUUUGUUGAUCAACAGGUACAACCGCACGUACAAGAGUUCCAUCUAAUGCACCAAUUGCUCCGGAAAAAAUAUUUUUUAACCGUCUAUGUCGUUCUGAGUUAUGUCUUGUUGGGUUAGGAGUUGUUGGUACUAUAAUUUCUUUUGCAAAACACAUCAUUGCUGUUAGGACCUCGUGAAAACAUUGAUGAAUCGUUUGUGUGGAGUGAUGAAAUCUUCCCUUAACCGCGCGAAAACGUUCAUUAUGUCCUAUAACAUGUAAGAAGAUAGCCAUCUUCUCUUCAAUGCUUAUUGUCCUACUAGCUUGCAACCAAUUUUUUUGGGUAAAAUGGUUGCAUAGUAAUGCAAAUGCCUCUUGUGUAAGACGCAUCAUAUCGAAACAUUGUGUAGGGUCUCCGUAUAUCAAAUCUUAUGUAUACGCAUACCCGCUUGAAUCGUUAUCUCUAAUUCUAAGAAUUCUGAUUAGUCUGCGCCGGUUUGACCUCAACCAAUAAAACACAAGUAAAAGAAAAGCUACAACUUCACCAUCAGAAACCAUACUUGAUCUAUUACAAACAAUUAGGUAAUAUGUUAAAGUAAAAAAAAAAUCAUGCACCAAAAAAAUUAGUAAACAUCAUUAAAAGUAACAAAAGUCGUAUAACAAACGUUGUAUAACAAAAUACUAGUAAACAUCAUCCAAAAAAGUCAUCAAACUAUAUAACAGUAAACCAAAAAGUCAUCAAACAUAGGAUCCAAAAAACUAGUAAACAUCAUCCAAAAAAAGUCAUCAAACAUAGGAUCCAAAAAACUAGUAAACAUCAUAAAAAAAACUAGUAUCCAAACUUUUCUACCCGCACCUAUCAAAGGUAACUAUACUUCCUACCCGCACCCAUCACCCACGACUCACAACUACUAUGCGAAAGUCGUAACCAAACUUUUCGAACAUCAGCACUUUCACCAAAUAGCAAAAGAGCGGUCUUGUGUCUUUCAUCUUCUUCUCCCCAUUCCAUUUUGUUCAAUUUCUCCAUACACGCAUCAACAUCCUUAUCCAUUUCACUUUUUUCAAUUCUUUCAUUUUUUUUCCACUAAUAACCUUACAAUCUUGACAAUCUCCUCUUCAACUUCUAAUGCCCUUGCAUCUCUUUUUUUUCCACCAACUCUUUUGUUUCCACCAACUUCCUUAUUUUUGAACGCCCCGAAGAUUCUUCACUUGCACCUACGUGUUGUGUUGAGGUUUCCAUUAGAACAUCAUCAUCAAAAUCAUGGGGACUAAACUCUUCUACAGGACAAGGGAGUGUAGAAGAUGGCCCCCAACUUUGAGAUCCGGUUGAUGUCAACCCUUCAAAUAGUUGGGUGCAAAGAUCAGGGAACAAUAGGGGUUUAGUUUUCAAUGACAACACGAACUUGUUCAACUGUUUACAAUUUUUAUAAAUAUUAGUAUAUGUUAUAAAAAUAAUCAUAAUAGUAUUGAUUAAAAAAAUAAAUUUAAUCAAAUAGUAUAUGUUAUAAAAAUAAUCAUAAUAGUAUUGAUUAAAAAAAUAUUACCUUCCCCUCUUCUUUCCAUUGUUCAUCGGUCAAAUUAAAUUUAUUUUUUAUAGGAUCAUAUAUAUUGCCGGUUUUGUUUUUGAGUUUCACCCAAGCAACAUACUUUGAUUUGUAGUAGUCAAAGUGGUUUCUCAUUUGCUUCUGAUCAACCUCUUUACCGUGUUCGUUUAUCAAUUUUUCGCGUAUUGUCUUCCAUGAACUUGCCUUAAGCCCAGAACCCUCACGACCAUUAGUGGUUAGUUCAUGGAUACAUGCAUCAAGAAAAGUUUUGUCCUCACUCUCGUUCCAAACCAACAUCCUAAAACAUUAAUAUUUAAAGUAAUUUAUCAUAGUUUUUAUCAAGUUAAAGAACAAUUUUAAACAUAAAGCAAUUUUCAACCAAGGAAGUUAACAUCAUCCUAAAUUAUGAUUUGAUAACUUAUACACAAACAAUUUCAGAUGUCACAAAACAUCAAUAUUCAAGCUAACAAUUUCACAAAAGAUAACAAGCUAACAAUUAAGGUCAACAAUAUCAAAGCUAUAAAAUUAGAAAGAAAAAAAAAACAGCCCAAUUUUUGAUUUUAUAGCUUAUACUUUUGAUACUAAUACAAGCUCAAUAAUUGGAAGACAUGUGAUGUUGCAUGCAUUCCCCCUCUCGCCCACUCUUCAAGGAACAAUUGGAUUAUUAAAAAAGUUAGGUUACCAUUAAUCUUAUAAUAAUUAUUUAUUAUUAAUUUUACUUUUGUACUUUACACAUAAAAACACAACNAAAACCAAAAAAAUAAAAAAAAAAAAAAAAAAAAAAAAACAGCCCAAUUUUUGAUUUACAAACCUACUUGUAUUUUCCAAUUCACAUUCAAUUUCAAUUCACAAGCUAUAAAAUCAAAAUUCAAAAAAAAAACCUUCCAAUUCACUUUCAAUUUCAAUUCAUAAGCUAUAAAAUAUGAACCGGAGAAAAAAACUUCCAAUGUGAAUUGGAGAAAAAAACUUCAAAUUCAGAAAAAAAAACAAAAAAACAAAAACAAAAAACAACUACCAAUUCACAUUCUAUUUUAGAAUUCAUAACAUUAGAAAAAAAAACCUUCAAUUUUCAGUUCUUAUACACAAAGAACUACAAAACAAAACAUAAACAAACUUCCAAUUCACAUAUAAUUUCGAAAUUCAUAUAUUAGAACAAACAAUUUCAGAUUUCAGUUCUUGUACACAAAGAACUACAAAAAAGAACAAAAAAAGCUUAUCAUAUGAACAUACAGGUUGAGAAUUCAUAAUAUUCUAACAUAUACUAAUUUGAUUUCAUAAAGAACUACAAAUUUCAUACCAUCAAAGCAUAAAUGGUAUCUGAUUUUGAAAAUUAUUAACAGAAAAAUUAUCUAACCUGUGUGAUGGAUCGAGAAGGCGUCACUGAUGGCGGUGGCGGAGGUCCGACGAGAUGGCACAGGUCCGACUGGUCGGACUGUUUGGCGUUCAAUGUUGUGGAGUUCUUCCUAGCGGCUGCUGUGCUUUUAGGUCACUAGAAGGGAAGCGAAUGGGGAAAGAAAUAAUAACGACGCAGGGGCAAGAUAAGGGCAAGAUUGUCUAAUUUCCAGUCAGCAACUGUUUAAAAACUGAUCCAGAAAGCGAUUUGGGUCAGCAGAUCUUACCGAGAAAGCUCAAAUCAAACACCAAAGGUCUGACCGAGUCAGCCCAAUUUGCUGACUCGACCCAGUCAGACAUUUAUCAAACACUCCCUUAGAAGUGCACUCUUUAAUAGACCUUGACUGCACACAUCUAUGCUCAUGAACCAAAGUUUUCACCAUCCAAUCGCUUUCUUCAUCAGAUCUAGAAAUUAAUACCACCCAAGGGCAUGUUGCUUUUUGUGAGCUGACUGUUUUAUCCUUGCAUUUGAUUCUACUUUUUGUCCAUGGCCCACCUGUCAUUUUCGGGACCACACCCCUGCAUUUUGCCCUAAUUCUUUUUUUUUUAUCAUUUUUUGAAAAGUAAAUGUUUCUCCUAGUUCGAAUUGAAUGCAUUUUAAUGUAGUCCUUCACUUCUGAUGAGGACUUAAAUAUUUGACCCAGAUGGAAUGCAGUUUCAUGUACUACUCCUGAUGAACAUGUGGUUGGUUUGUUUAACCUUCUCAUUAAUUUCUUCCUCUCAUCUUCUUCUACACCAGUUGAUUCAAAUAAUUGUGUAUCUAUCACCUCCAAAUCCUCAUCAACUGUGACAUCAGGUGCAUUGAAUGAUUGGUGGUUAUCUAGAUUUGGAAAAGAAUAAACACCACUGUGGAAGUCUUUCAUAUUCACUUCGACAUCCUCCACCAUAUUAAGUUCAUCCACUAAAAAGUCACUAUCGUCGCUUAUACUUCCAUCGGUACUAGUCUCAUCACUAAUAACAUCUCCAAUUUCUUCAUUUUCCCCCAUCUGUUGGUAAUCAUUAUGAUCCAUAUAAAAGAAAGGAUCAAAGUCUUCUGAAGGGACAACAUCUUGGGCUUUGUUAAGCUCCUCACUUGCAGGAUGAACUCGAACAUCUUUCACUACAUCUCUAUCAAAAUGUCCAAAAGGUACAACAGACCUAGAAAAGUCAUAGUUCUCAUUCAAGUCCAUUUUUCUACUACAUGAUCCUACCUUUGUACUUGUAAACUUUUUUCGAUUGAGUUCCGGAGAAAUAGGCUCAUUGAUUUCUUCCGAUACGACCUUAUUUGGAGAUAUAAAGUAUGCAUGGAGUCUAGUAGUUCCAUGUUCAGUAUACACCAUAAUCUCUUUAUGAUUAGCAACAUGCUUACUUAACAAAAGUACGUCUGAGUUGUUACCUAAAGGAAGUAACCCAUAAUCGAUUUCAAUCUCAGGAAUCAAGAAGUGGUAGUAGAUAGGCUCACCGUUGAUAUAACCUAUCUCCUUCAUCAUAUCGUCUAACUCAUGUACGGAAAACACGUCCAUGUCUACGUAGUCAACAUAGUCAAUACUCCCACCAACGUAACGUCUUCCUGGGUAUUUUGUGAACAUACCCCCAUGGUGAAUCUUGAAUGUGCAAAAACUACUUAACUCAACUGAAAAACAAAUAAAUAAUGAUAUGAGGAAAGAAUGAAGUCUCAAAAUUGAAUGUGCAUAAAUUACUUAACAAAAUUGAAAGUUGUUAACUGAUCACUCACCAUAAGCUUUGAUCAGGUCAGGAUUUUCUGAGAAUUUUGAACGGACAUUCCACAAAGUUAGAACGAUCGCAAAAGAUGAAAAUGAAAACCCUAGUUUCCGUUUGAUGUUUUGAAGUGAUGAAGAUGAAAAACCAGAGGAGAAAAGAAAGGGAUGAUUUCUUGGGGUAAUGUAAAUGGCAGCUAGAUGUAAGGAUCAUUUAUGAAUAUGAUCAUUUCGUGUAACAAAGCAAAAGACCAAAAUACCCUCGUGUGAGGGUCACGUGAUUUAGAUAAACGGAAACAAUUAAACGGAGUAUGUCAUAAGGACUAUUCGUGCAACAAUUUGGAACCAUAGGGACCAUACUCGUCCAAAAUUCCUCAUAAGGACUAUCUUUGGUCUCUUGUGCCAACCACAGGGACCAUCUGUGUAAUUUUGUCUUUUUUUAAAGAUAGUUCAUAAUUUUUCUAUUAUAUACAUUGUAAAUGAAAUUGAGAACUUAAGUAGGUCCUAGGACCUACCUAAGCACAUGGUGGAUACGCCCCUGUUACCCACACUAACCUCAUACACUUACAACACAAAUGAACUUGAACGGUCUAAGACCAAACCAAGAUAUAAUAUGAAAUGUGUAAGUAUAGUUUAAUAGAUGAAAGUGAGGUGUUGUUUGGGCUUGAAAAGUAGGGGUGAGCAUGGUGCGAUUUUUUGAGAAAACCGAACCGCAAACCGCAAGAUGCGGUUUCUAUAGGGUAAAACCGAUAGGUGUGGUUUUUGUUUCGGCGUGGUUUUACAUGCAUUUUCGGUGUCAUUCGAUGCGGUUUCGGUUUUUAACUGAAAAUAUGUGUUGGUGUGAUUUUUCAUACAUGUGUUGAUCUACCAAAGAAGUAAUAACCCCUAAAGAAGCUAGAGCAAGGCCUAAUUGAAAAUGAAGCCAAUUAUUAAUUGUGUCAUAAAGACCCUCAUGCCCACGUCUCAAUCGCCCUCUUGGAGGGAUAUGUGCAUCUAAAAGAUCUUUCAUACUGUGCCCAAUCCCAAAAUUAGUUCUAUACAUAUGCCCAACAAUAAGAAAAAGAAAUGCAAUAGCUAAAUAAUGAUGAGUCAUAUCAGCAUGUCCAAACCCGACUUUUCAGUUAACUUUCCUUUAUUUCCGGUACAGAUUCUCAUUUAAAUGUAUUUAACAUGCUUGUGAAAUAGUUAUAUGUUAUUCUUAUCAAAAUAUAGACUUCUUUAUGAUAUUACGAUUUUGAGAUUUGAAUUAUAUGUUUGAUGCAACAAGGGAUUUGGUUUUAUAAUCUCAAAUUCCAUUACUUAAUCAUUAUUGUUUAUACAGAUAGAGGCGGCUUUUGAUUCGAAUUGCAUUUUGCUUGUGAUAAGCAAAAGGAAAAUUGUUAAUGGUACGCACUUUGAUACAAAUGUCAAAUUUUAUAAAAAUAUAGCAAAACAUAAGGCAUGCACAGUGGCAAAAAGAACUGAAGAGGUCGAAGUUGAACAAAAUAUACUUUUAUUAAUAAGUAUUAUAAUAUAUUAAAUAUUGUCAGGUUUUUAUGGUGCUGUUUGGCAUUGUCCAAACCGCACCACACCGAAAAAUUACCAAUUAAGGUUGGAUUGGAAUGCAUAAUUAUCAAUUUAUCCUUAAUAAGUCAUAAAUCAACAAAAAUGGCCCAACAAUUUUCUUAAUCUUAAUUGUUGCCUUUGGAUUAGAAAUCAUCAACGAUCAAGAUUGGUUCUCACAAUUCUCUAAUCUCUACUUUUAUGUUGUUUUCAUUUGAACUCAACCCAAAAAUCUCACCAGUAAUCACCACACGAACAAAUCCCGUUCUUGAAAUGAUGAAACCUAUUUGUAUCCCGAAGAAUAAUUUCCCGCUCAACAAUCUUGGAAAUAAGCUUAGCAGCAAUAUGACAAUCCUCACAAACACGUAGAUUUUUAGUAAUCCGUAUAGGCGUAAAAGCUUUAGUAUUUAUAAUCACAAACACAAUAGCAAGCUUCUCACUAUGAACAGCAAGAUGAUUUCCUUUAUCUUCAUCUUCUAUAUCAUGAAGUGCAGAAUCCACUUCAGGAACAUACCCAAAAUCCCUCAUCUUCCCCACAAGUACUUCCAACUCUUGAUAAAUCUGUUUAGAUUGUGGAUGGGAUUGAUCUCCAGCAAGAAACGAAUGAACUUGAUUAUUAAGCUCAACAUUACUAACACCGGGCUCUUUUUUCACUCCUUUUGAUUUCAUUAUUGAACGAAUAUUUGUCACAUCUUUAAAUCUACCUGCUUUUGCGUAUAUAUUUGAUAAUAAAACAUAAUACCCUGCUUGUUCAGGGACCAAUUCAAAGAGAUGAUCUGCUGCUACAAGACCAAUUUCCAUGUUGGAAUGAACUUUACAAGCACUUAACAAAGCACCCCAGAUUCUAUCGUUUGGUUUUGUUUUCAUUUUCUUUAUAAAAUCAUAAGCUUCAUUGAUUCUUCCUGAUCUUCCUAGCAAAUCAACCAUGCACGCCAAGUGUUCGAGUCUUGGAAUGAUGUUAUACUCUUCGGUCAUCAAUUUGAAGAAAUGUUUUCCUUGGUUUAGUAAUCCGGCAUGGCUGCAGGCUGAUAGAACUGGAACGAAGGAAAUGGAAUCAGGGGCGAUUCCGGAAUUUUGCAUAUUUGAAAAGACUGUGAUAGCAGUUUCACCAUCUCCAGUCAUGCCAUAAGCAGAGACCAUGGAAGUCCAGGAGACGACAUCUCUUGUUGGCAUUUCAUCGAACACCUUGCGUGCUUCGUUUAAAGACCCACAUUUAGCAUACAUGUCAAUCAAGGCGUUCUCUACUGUUAGAUUAGGAAGAAGCCUUUUUGUUUUUACAUAUGAAUGAAUCUUUCUUCCUAGUAAUAAAGCUGAAAGAUCUCCACAAGCGGGUAGGAUGCUAGCAACUGUGAUUGAAUCCGGGUCGAUUCCGUAAUUCUCCAUUUGUUGAUAAAGAUUAACUGCAUCUUUAGGCAUCGAGUUGUUGACGUACACAGCUAUCAUGACAUUCCAAGAAAUUAAACUCUCUCGAGCGUGAUUCAUGAACAUUUCUUUCAUAAACAUCACGUUGGUAGAUGAAGUAGAAGUUGUUAAAGCAGGGGAAAGGCUGGCCAUGGUGCCUGCGUUGGGUUUUGAGGUAGAACAUUGCAUCAUUGUCUUACAAAUCUCCAAUGCAUCUUCAAACAUCCGGUUUUGGGCGUAGGCAGCAACCAUAGCAUUCCAGGAGACGAUAUCUCUACUAGGCAUUUCAUCAAACACCUGGCGUCCUUCCAGUAACCGGUUACAUUUUCCAUACAUUGUAAUCAAUCCAUUCCCUACAUAAAGAUUUGAAUGCAGACCCUUCUUGAGAACAGCAACAUGGGUUUGUAAUCCGACCCACAAAUUCUCAGACACGGAACAUGCUUUUAGAACUUGAGGAACUGUAAAAUGAUCAGGGUUAAUGUUGAACUUGAACAUGUUUCUGUACAUACGAAGUGCUUUUUCGUAGAAUUCAUUGUUUACGUAGCUUCUAAUCAUCACAUUGAAGAAGACUACAUCUUUUUGAGGAAAUUCAUCAAACAGUUGGCGGGUAACUGCGAUUUGGCGACAUUCAGAAUAAGCUUUCAUUAAUUUCAGAGCAAUAUGCGAUGCUGAGACGAGGUUUCCAUCAAUAAUUAACCUACAAUGUAUCUUUUUCAAUUGUUUGAUAUCUGGGCACUUGUCCAAGAUUUUGAUACACAAGUCUUCUGUGAUUAACAUGAUUGUUAAGGCGAGAUUUGAAUGAAUUUGAACUUAUAUUCCUUUCGCCAUGUUGUACCUGAGGGGCAAUCAAAUAGAAUGGACGAAGAUAACGAAGGUUUACUUGGUGGUGUUCACUUAAAAACAAGAAAUAUGAAGUUCUAAACGCUAUUUCUUGUUAAACAGAAAAUAUUUUGUCCAAUCUAAAAAUCCAAUUUUUGAGUAAGUUCAAGCUUAAGCUCAAAAAUAGUAAGCAAAACAUGUUUAAAAAAUAAAAGUUCGUUUGAAACUCUUUGGAUAGCUCGAGUAUAACAAUCAUCAUAAUUAUAGUCAAUAAAUCAGGCUCAAACAACCAAACUUGAUGUCCAGCCCUUGAUCAUCCAAUUGCCAACUGAAAUCAACUUAGUUUCCGGUUUUAGAAUCGCCCUAACAUUACAUAAGCACCAACUAGUUCCAAAAGUAGUUUUUAAUUCAAUGUCUCCCAUACCCGUGACUUCAAGGGUUUCCAUGUUACCCAACCUUACCAACUUAAGAUAAGUUCUUUACUUCAAUUACUAUAACAGAUCGAUGAGUCAUGUUCUAAUGACCUCUCGUCAUAUGAUGCAAUGCUUAGACUCGAGUCUUUUAAAGUCAAAUUCUAUAAUGAAAUAUACAUUCCUUCAAGUUUCUAAUGUGAUAUAAUCACAUUCUAGCAUGUAUCACUUCUAGCUACAAGCUUCUUACUUUAACAACAAUCACAAUACUUCUAUUGAUCGCUUUGAUUAUCUUUCAGUUCAAUCUUCUGGCUUAAGUCAGAUGCUACAUCGAUCUUGGUUCUCUGAACCACGUACAAUACUUAUCCUAGCUGUAAUCGAUUUGAUAUGACCACUAGGGUCGGAAUAACAAUCAUCUUCUUAGUCAUUACCGAAAUUAUGGUAAUGACACAUGAACAAAACAGAAUCAAUUACUAGCGUCUUGGUAACUCGUGACUUUCCCUGAUCCAAGUGCGAGUCGUGUGCUUCCAGUAGUAUAUGCCUCUACUACCUUUCACACCUACUCAUACUUGUCCCAAGUAUUGUCUUUCAGUUCUCCAAGUCACCAUAAAAGAAUUUCACAUAGUCAUUUAACACAUCGAAUAACAAAACUAAGGUUUAUAUUAUUUCUUGAAACGAUUACAUAGAUAUUCAAGUUCACCUUAUACCAUGCCUUUUAUAUUAGGCUACACCACAUGAUACUAUCUAUAUGGCUACUUUAUAUCUCGAUCUUCAGAUAUAUAUAGAUCCCUACUCCUAAUCCCUUGUAUCGUCACCUGCUUCAUCCAGGUUAGACUUCGAGAAUCUUCCUUUCUUAUCGAAUCUUGAGGAUCCCUCAAGCUUCUUCUUUUCUCAUGCCUUGUCUUAUUCCAGACCCUUUUUCCUAAAUUAGGUUUCCAUAUUCUUGGUUGCUCUAACGGUUGUCUUCAAAGUAGUUGCCAUUUUUACCAUUGCGCCAAAUUAUGCUGGCAAUCCGUUAGCAAAACUAUCUAUCUUGGAGAGUUCAGUAGCACCAAGUAGGGGAAUAACUUCAUCUGCUCGGUGAAUACGGUGACAUACUCAUCAACACUCAUCUUCCUUUUCUUCAAGUUCGAAACUCGUUGUUUAGGUCUAUCAGAUCUAUCUCUGAGCAGUAUUGCAUUUUCAACUGCUCCAUGAAUGCUUCCCACCUCAGGGCUUCUCCCCCAUGGCUUUGUAUCUGCCAAUAACUUCCACCAACUUAAAACUCUGGUCUUUAGUUGUCUGACUGUAAAGACGGUUUUCUGCUUGUUGCUGCAAUUGCAACUUUCAAAUGUCAUCUCUAUCUCGGAGAUCCAAUCCAUGAUCUCUACUGGCUUCGGGCUUCCAGAAAGACUUGGUGGUUUGGCACCUAAGAAGUUCUUAUACAUACGUUCAUCCUUAUCAAUCGCUUUUUUCGGGUCGUUCCUCCUUGCCACUCGGGGUUCAGCUUGACUCACUGUACGACUGUAAUUUCCCUCCUCCGACAAUUCUUCAUUCAGUUCGGGUUGCACGAUAGGCACAAUAGGUUCAUCCCUAUUAUCAAGAAACAUUUUUCUCAUCUCCUCCCUUUGUUCGGCCAUCAUAGCCCAAAUCAUUGCUUAGACUCUUGCCAUCGUGAUUGGCUCGGGUGCAGCUACUACCUCUGGUGCACAUUUAAUCACUCGUGGUUCAGGCUGUUAGUUUUCAUUAGCAUUUUCUAAUAUGUUGCGAGUUCUCACCAUUUCGAUCUAUACACUCUAGAGAUGUUCAGUGUACAGUGACGAGAAUUAAGAUAUGGAAAGCUUUAUUUACGACAGCCAUAUAAAUCUUCUUAUCACUCGUAAAAGUUAUAUACUAGUUCUAAUACCGUAAUUAAAUGUUUGGAAAUUUUGAGCAAAUGACGGUUCAUCAACAAUAGAGCGAAUCUCAUUUAGGAAUUCGUUGAUAGGUCGAUUUCCUUUAGGAUUUUUAGCAAGUUUGGAUUUUAAAGAGAUGAUUCUUGAGCAGGAGGUGCUGGCAUAGCUUGUGUUGAGAUGCUUUCAUGCUUCUUUUGUGGUAAAUACAGAGGUAAUGAUAGGUUGAAUGAAUUGCAUCUGAGCAUGAACCAAGAAUUGCAUCGAAUACUACAUGAUCUUGGCGAUAGCAAGUCGUGUAUUCAUGAUUAGGUUUGGAUUUGUCUUUGUCGAUAAUGAAUUUUGUGGUAGGAUCAGUCACCCAUGUGAUGUAAUCUUCCAGACCUAGUCCAAUAAAUGUGGACUGCACUUGUCGCCUCCAUACAUGGAAGUUGUUGGUGAGUAAUUUGGUAGGAAAGUGACUUGAGGCGGUGAUUUGUAUUUGGGAUGAUUGUGUCAUGGUGAUGUUGAUGAAAAGGAUUAGAGGAGAAAGGCAAGAUGAUCGAUUGACUCUUUAGAGUGUGUGUGCUCUGAUACGAUAUGAGAUUUGAGAAUCAAUGGGCUCGAAUGAAUAAUUUCAUUUACAAAGAUCGAUACAUAUAUAGAUGGUAACGAGAGUUAAAGAGCUAUACAUGGAAUUUACUAAGAAUAGAUUGCAAUUACAUACAAAUAGAAGAGAUUAUUGUAGAUUAGUCAUGAAGAUGUGUACGAUGUUAUAGUUAGAUUGCUUAUUUGCAAUCCAUGUUAGCUAAGUAUGUCAUGUUGAAUACAAAUUGUAUUAAAACAUUAAAGUUCCAACCAUUAUAUGUUGAAGAAGAAGCAAAUACGCCUUAGUCACACCCAUUCUAAAUGAUAUGGAUGUUAUGGUUGUCGUUUCUAUGCAACCAAAUCGUGAUUCCAAGUUGCAGUUGUCUUACCAAUAUAUCAUGUUAGGAAAAGAUGACAUAGCAUGAAAUAUUGUAUGUUACAACAAAAAGAUAUAUCUUAUAGAUGUCUUGCACAUGGGUUAUUCCUUUUUAAGCACUUAUAUAAAAAUAAUAUCACGUAUGUAUGAUAUCUAUUUUGAGAGAUUUUUAGCAAGCAACUCUUUGUCUAUUAUUGUUAUUGGAUAGAAAAAGUAUCAUCUUCGUUGGGAAGAUUUUACUAGGAUUAGAUUCAUAAUAGUUUGUCAAAGAUUUUACUAUUAUGUAUUUAUAAACCCAUGAAGUUUUCUAUUAAAUAAAUAAAUAAAUAACCAUUCACCAUUUAUAUCUUUUUGGAAUAGAGUUUGUUAAAUUCUAAUAUAAAUAAAAAGAGUAUUUAUUUAGAUUCACACAUUACAAAAUUACAAACUCCAAGCAUAAAUCCGAAACUUAUUUUUAAACUUCUUCAUUUAUAUUACAAGUUUUAUUCUUUUUUCCCAACCCACUUGGGGUUUCGAAACCCUAAAAAAGUUCUAUCCAUGGAAGUUCAUAUUUAUUUCUUAUCUUAAUGAAUUUAAGGUCUAAAUCAAUAAAUGGCAAUGUAGAAUUAACCGCAUAUAUUAAGUUAUUUUUGGAAGCUUUCCAACACAACACAGAAAGGAAAUGAUGAGAAUUUAUGGUACCAAAUAACAAAAUAAUCCCGGUUCCUAUAAAAAUUUAUUAAAGCUCUACUCAUGAUUUCAUAAUCUCCUCUAAUAUGAGGGUUACGUUAUUGUAAUAAUAACUAUGAUAAUGUAAAAGCCAUAACAUAAAUCGUCUUAAUUUAAGAAAUAAUAUAAAUCCCAAGAUAUUGUUUUUAAAAUAAAAAGGAAAAAAGUGGGAGUCCAUUAGAAGGAGCCAAGCUGAUUAUUUGAGCCAAGAGAGCACCGAUUUGUUAUCCUUCCACUGUUCGAAGCGAGAGGUUAUCGCAGCUCUGUGAAGCCAGCCUAACGCAUUGCCCUCUGCUCUAGGAACCAAGAAGCCCAAGCCUUCGCUCAAGCCACUUGAUCCAACUCCGAACUUGGAACGGGCAAACCAGAUUUUGCAACAGCUUUGACCCAACCAAACAAGGCUCGAUCUCAGUCCAUCCCACUUUAGAGCCCUCACUUGAGUCACAAGCUCGCGUUACCAAGCUCGGCGAUAAACGAAGUCCAUUUGAUGUAUAAAUAAUCGGAAAAACUUUCUCCUCCAAGCGAUGUGGGAUGCGAAACGAAAUAUUUUCAUCUUCAUUCUCUCUUUAUCUCUGUCAAAUACUGUGAUUACUGAUUACUGACUACUUAAACACCCAUGCAACGGAUUUCAAGUAUUUUUUUCAAUCCAUGGAUUUAGAACUGUAAACU
RNAcentral lists this long non-coding RNA (34923 nucleotides) under Lactuca sativa (garden lettuce). RNAcentral's name for it is "long non-coding RNA (LSAT_LNC000191)". Lineage: Eukaryota; Viridiplantae; Streptophyta; Magnoliopsida; Asterales; Asteraceae. The record is from RNAcentral.